Molecule: non-coding RNA, 7432 nt
Organism: Sus scrofa (pig)
Lineage: Eukaryota; Metazoa; Chordata; Mammalia; Artiodactyla; Suidae
Source: RefSeq, a predicted model, not a curated record
AACGCAGGCACCGCACCUGCGCGCAGCCCCAGGUUGGCAGAAAGAGGCCAUCACCACGUCGCAGCAGCCGCGCUGGAAAGAGGAGCUCUCCGCGCGCAGAGGCUGAGGGCUGCUCGCUUCCCGCCCACACUCGGACCUUGGCUCUGGCGGGGAGUUGGCCCUCCGCGCUCGCUGGGCGAACAAGCCAGAAGCUGAACAAAGGCUGGACUCUUUCUCUUCCCUUCCCUUCCCUGAGGGCGUCACUUAGCCUCGCGCCUGGGCUGCAGAGUUCCCUUCAGGCUCUGACUGCCAACCUCAGGCCAAGGAAUGGAGACCUGAAAUCGGCCCCUGUUUCAGGAGGAGCAGGACCCUCUCCCUGCAUUUGGGAAUCCGUGACAGCUGCGGUCCUCCUGAGCAGACCAUCCGUGGGAGGGGAAGAAACGCCCAGGUGAAGAGGCAGGAAUAGGAAAUGUGGUCUCAGGGUUCUCCUUUCAGAGACUGCAGGGGACCUGAGAGUGACAAUGCUCACAUGCCAAUUACUCAGGAGAGGCGGCUCAGGUGUCCUAUGAUGAUGUCCUGUCAUCUGUGACCUGUGGUACACUCUGCACAAGAACAGUGUCCUAGCUGCCAGCAUUCUUCUUUGAAGGCUCAAGAUUAUGUUAGAACCAGGACAACAGGACAUAGGUUGGUCUUUGGUUCCUUUUCUCUGUGUAGAAUAUCUUACAAGGUGGUGGAUAUAUGAAGACAGAUGAGGCGUUCCCAUCAUGGCUGGGUGGUUAACAAACCCGACUAGUAUCCAGGAGGACGAAGGUUUGAUCCCUGGCCUUUCUCAGUGGGUUAAAGAUCCAGAGUUGCCUUGAGCUGUGUGUGGUGAAGGUCGCAGGUGCAGCUCACAUCUGGUGUUGCUGUGGCUGUGGUGUAGGCCUGUGGCUACAGCUCCGCGAUUCGACCCCUAGCCUGGGAACCUCCAUAGGCCACAGGGGCGGCCCUAAAACGACAAAAGAAAACAAAAAGAGAAAAAAGAAAAAAACAGAUGAGAGGAACUUUAAAAAGCCAAAUGGCUUUUACAAGUUAAAAUGCAAGGUUGGUAAACUACAGAAAAAUAAGCUUACCAUGAGCUCACACUUGAUACACUUGAUAAGGAAAGAAAGGUAUGAACCUAGUAUUCAAUGGAGGCAUGGGGGUCGAGAAGGGGGACUUUAGCUAAUCCCUGUGAAAUCCCAGACUCAGAGUCUGCCCAUCUCUGCUAAGUGUCGGGGCUGGGAGGGUCUGUCACCCAAGACCUGCAGAGCUCAGUCCCUGUGGCAGGUGCUCCCCAGCCGUGCUGACCUUGCUGGUCCUCGGGGCUCCAAGCUGAGGGUCCAGACUCAGGAUGCAGCUCAAGGUCAGGUGGAUUCCCUGAUCAGUUUACCCACAGGGAGGCAACGGUGGCCUCGCAAACAUACACGGGCUUCACCCCAUACCUCCUUAUGGUUUCCAUAGCUCAUGAAGGAGUUUUCAUGCUGAGUGUCAUACAUCUUCAGCUUGAGACAGAAACAUAACUGGGUUCCACGGAGAAAAUGGCUUUUCUGACUAACAUUAAAGAGAAUACCAACAUUGAAAAUAGGUAGAACAGAUACUGUAGUGUUAGGAUUCCUGCAUCCAGUCGUUCCUUUUUUGGAAAAAACGGUGACUGAAAUCCUGCCAUAGAGCAGGCACUGUGAGUAAGAAAGACCAUCCUGCGUAAUAAAGCCUGGAAGUCAGCUGGGAAAGUCAAGGAGAGACAAAUCACACUGGAUCUACAGGAAAAGACUGGAACACAUCCGGUAACUAUCCAGAGUCUGUGGGCAGGUGGAUGGCCGAUAUGUACAGAUUUUUAAGUGAAAUGUUAAGGGAGAAAAGAGCAGAAGCUGAGAGUGCAUGCACACACCCAUUACAUCUGCGCACAAGUGGGCAUGAAUGAAGAUCAAACGAAUAUUUGAAGUGACCCCCCCACCCAGAGCAAGUAUAAUUGGCUUAAGAGCUCUACCUUGAGCACCCACAGUCUCCCAGGGGCUGUUCUAGGUGUAUGCUGUUCUGCUGCCAACACUGGGCACAAGAGAGACACCAGGAACAAGAGAAACAAAAAUUGCUGCCCUCCUGGUAUUUAUGCCCUAUGGGAGAAUAGAUGAAAUACACAAGCAACGGAACAAGACAAUGCCUGUGUAUAUCACCUGCGGGAACGGGCACCAUCUUAGCUGUAGGACUCUAGGGGGUCAGGUAUGUGUACUUUCAUGCAAUCACCACCCAGACCAAGAUAGGGAACUGUCAGGAAUUCCCACCGUGGCAGAGCAGAAAUGAACCCAACUAGUAUCCAUGAGGAUGUGGGUUCGAUCCCUGGCCUCGCUCAGUGGGUUAAGGAUCCCGUGUUGCCAUGAGCUGUGCUGUAGGUUGCAGACACGGCUCAGAUCUGGCGUUGCUGUGGCUGUGGUGUAGGCCGGCCGCUGCAGCUCCAAAUUGACCCCUAACCUGGGAAUCUCCAUAUGCCACAGGGGCAGCCCUUUAAAAAAAAAGCAAGAUAGAGAACUUUCCAGCACUGCUCCAUCACUGGUCAGCUGACCUCUGACCUCUGUCGCCUUGGAGUCAUCUUGCCUCUUGGUCAUGUAAAGGGAAUGAGGUAGUCAGUACUCUUUUGUGACUACACCCUUCUGUGCAUUUGUGUCUGUGGGAAUCACUGUGGCUGUUGCUGUGUGUUGCAAUAGCCCUUCCAUUGUCAUUGUAGGGUGUGUAUUGUAUAGCCUUCCGUCAUGUGACUAAGGGGUUUGUAAGAACAUAUCACCGUUCAUGGGUCCAUUGUCACUCGCACUGAAUCACAUUUGAAACGUUGCUAGUUUGCGGCUUCUUAGAAUAAAGCUUCUUUGAAUAUGACUGUCCCUGUCUUUUGGAAUGCAUGAGCAUGAGCACACAGCCCUAUUGGUAUCUGACAAGGCAGGGGUUCCAGGGGCAGAAGGCCUUACACACUACUGGUUUCCCAAAGGAGGUGUCCCACCAGCGGUGAAUGAUGGUUUAAGGUACUCCUCGUAGUCAAGACCUGUUGUUGGUCUUUUACAUUUGAGCCUAUGUGGGGAUAUCCUUGGAUUAACGUUGCUCGUAACUUCUCCAAAUCCGGUGAUGUCAGGCACGCUUCCCUAUGCUUCUUGACUUUUGGGAAAGGCCGUUCCAGACUUGGGCCUUUUGAUCAUUGGGUGAUAGGCUUGGCUAUGCAUUUUUGGAGAUGUGUCCUUGGUAAUUUGCAAUAGAUUUUCCCGGCUGAGCCUUGUCUACAUGCUGGACCCCCAAGCCAGCAACUCUAUAGAGUAGCACACUUUGGGAACACCUGAGCUCCUAGAAACUUCCUCUUAAGCAGACCGCUGGCCCACGUGCUUGGAAAUUGCUUCCAGAGGAUGCAGUGCAGAGGACGCAUGGUGACUGGUCAAUCAGAGACAGGAAACAUAUACCUAGGAUGUUCACGGAAGGGUGUGAAGUAGGAACCAACAGUCCCCAGAUCCGUACAUUGACUUAAGACUUGGAUACCCCGCAAUGGCAAAAGGAAGCAAAAAAUAUAUAUAUAUAAGCAUCUUCAGUUAAAGAAGAAAAAAAAAAAGGCCAUCUACCAGAGAGUCACGGAAGACGGGCCUCACCCUUCUCGGAACACCGCUGAAUUCUAGGAGCUCUGACUCCCUCAGAGGUCUGGGAGCUUCAUCCUAGAAUGUAUGCGCAGCCAAAAUCCUAGUUCAGUGUCCACGAGCACGACAUUUCCACAUAUGCAAGGACUAACGCCACUUACUCGUGAGGAGCUCAGAAAAUGCGGGCAGACAAGAAGGUCCCGAGUGGCAGCUGUGCAACAGCCGGGACAGGGCGCUUUGGGGGCGUCUGAGGAAAGAGUGCAGACAGGAUCCCAGACAUUACAGAGGUGCUGAAGCCACACGUCUGGAAGGACAAAGACUCCUGUCCCUGCCACAGGGGAUUCCCAGCACUUCUGGCCUCACCCACAAAGACACACGGCGCUACAGAACCAUGAGCUCUUCACAACACAGGACGAAGGAAGGAGAAACGGUGGCUCCGGAAGAGGCCGCCCUUCUACAGAGCGUGCCCGGAGGAUUCCUGCUCGAGGCGUCCCCAACAGGAACAAGAAAUCUCAACACCCCUCAAGCCCAGACAGCAUCGCCAGGCACCCGCCUCGGACAGUGUCCCCACUCAGGCCCCAGGAAGCAGCAGGGCUGCUUGGAGAGCUCAGGGGGGCCCGAAGGGAAAAAAAGAUACCACACAGCAGGUGUGAGUGAGGCUUUACUGCUGAUCAGGCAGGGCUGGGUGGGGACCACGCUGGGGGAGCAGGGCCUACAUGCCGGGUCAGGGCUGGUCUUCAGGGCAGGGCUGGGCAGCUCAGGACUGAGCCCCACAGGCAAGGGCCAGGCUCCACACGUCAGGCCUGAGCUCUCCAUGUCAGGCUGCUCACAGCAGGAGCAAGCACAGAAAGGAAGGCGGGUCUGGUUGGCCUCAGAGCAGAAAGGAUACCUUCAGCCGCUGACUUCACGGCAGAAGGGCAGGAGGCUGCAGAGCGCUCAAGAUCCUGGUGAAUGCGGCCUGGGAAAGGCUUAGGGGCCACGUGAGGCCUGAUGGGAACAAGGAGGACAAGCAAGACGUCUGGUCGUGGGCUGCAGGGAGGGCCAGCUGUCCUCCAGGGCCUACUCCUCACUCCAUCUCCUGCUUCAGGGCACUACUUGUUGCCCCACAUGGCCAUCUUUGAAUACACGGGGUGUGGCAGGAAGCGGCUGGACCUCAUGUAGGCUGAGAUCCUCUCCAGGCCCUGAGGGUGGGAAGAGAAGCUCAGACGUCAGGGUCAGCGGCCCCUGGGACUCAAGAGGCUCCACUCCAGACAGACACCGAGUUCGAGAACCUGGGCGUGCCCUUCCUCGUGGGGUCAAGGGGUCCACAAAAGACAGUCUUCCUGGGGUUCCUAGUUCUGGUCCGUUAACUCUUCAACGCCCUGUAACUCAUGUGGUAACGCUUCCCACCCAGGGACACGUUCCACUGUGCUGGGUGCUGUAUAUCCUCCAGAGGUGAUGACGGCAGGCAUAGCUCAUUCUAGCCCACGUCCAAUUACUGUGCUUCACAGAUGGUGUGUCUUUUCCAAAUGGAAGCUUUUGGAGUUCCCGUCGUGGCUCUGUGGUAAUGAACCUGACAAGUAUCCAUGAGGAUGCAGGUUCCAACCCUGGCCUGGCUCAGUGUGUUAAGCAUCCAGCACUGCUGUGAGCUGUGGUGCCACUUGUACCCACAUUGCUGUGGCUGUAGUGUAGGUGGAAGGCUGCAGCUCCGAUUCAACCCCUAGCCUGGGAACCUCCAUAGGCUGGGUUGUGCCCUUAAAAAGACAAAAAAAAAUUAAGCUUGAUAUCAACCCUGCCUUAAGCAAGUUGAUCAAUCCCAUUUUUUCAACAGCAUUUACUCACUUCCUGCCUGUGUCACAUGGGAUGAUUUUCUCAAAAACUCCCCCUUUUUCGUUGUGAUUAUGUUUGCUCUGGUGAUUUGUAUUCAGCCGUCUUUGAUGUUGCUACGGCAAAAGAUUACACUCAGUGAAGGCUCAGAUGAUGGUCAGCAUUUUUCAGCAAUAAACUAUCCUUCAAGUAAGGGAGUACACACUUUGUUUAGACCUAAUGCCAUUGCACAUCCUAUCGAUGGCGGUUCAGUGUAAACACAACUUUGCUGUGCCCUGAGAAACAAAAAAAGUCAUGCGACUUGCUUCACUGCAACAGUCACCGUGUCGUGGGUGUCCACAGCCAAACAGAACAACUGCAAUCUACCCAAGAUACGCCUGGGGGUUGAGAAGGUCCACACAACUAACCUGAGUUCGUCUCCUGCAUCAGGAGGGAACACCAGGUACCCAAAGAGGAAGCACCUUCCUCGUGUUCAGGCAUCUAAUCAGUUAUACCCCGGAAUGCAGCCCGGCUCUCUCUCCAAUCCUGUGCUCUUGGCCGGGCACUACCCACAAGAGGACAUGUCGUCUGCCUCACUGCUCGCAAACUUGCUCCAUUGUCAGAGGGAAGCUUCUAGACCAGAGGGAUGCCUAGACCAACAAAGACCCACACAAAGUGCCAGAGCAGCUUGCAGCACAGAACAGGUCGCAUCCAAUGACUCAGCAAAACCUGGAUGAAAGGUGAGAGGAGGAUAAGGAGCGGCCAGGUCAGGCCUGGCCAGGCCGACUCUAAUCAGUCCACUUCAAGGACAGAGUCCAACUGCCCCGCCUGGCACCUGAGCCCCGUCUCAAUGGACCCCAACCUACUUCAUCUGCCACUGCAGCCACCCAGGCAGUAAGACACGCAGGGGUGUCUGUGCACUAUCUUCCCAAGAUGAAGAGUGCCCGGGAAGCUGCAGGGGUGCAAAGAUCCUGGGGCUGCCUCUACCCACAGCCCAGGCCCCAACAGGCCACACGGCAGCUCCCUUGCCUGCCAGGCAAUCAUCUCCGCUCUUACAAAAUGCUCAGGCCACAAGCCUGGAGCAGAGCCAGAAGGAGCCAGAAAACAGAUUUCAGGAUGGGCAUGGCAAACACACUGCAGGCUGCAAAACCUACUGCACCAAUGCCUCAAGUGCCCAAAUCUGUCAAAAAGCAAACUUUGCUGCUCGGCCACUGGCGGACUGAGGGUGAUGGGUGAUGAGCUGGGAGGUGAGGGCAGCCUGGGCUCCCCCAGCACCAAGGUGGCUGCACGCGCCACACACCUCGGGGGUCCUGUGUUUCUCCAGCUGCCCUGAGCCCCAGAGGGAGGGCACCAGAGCUGUGGGACGGCGGCAUCCCCCCUGGGCCUGACACAGUGCCUCCUACAGAGGACAGGGUCAGAUCAGUGACUGUGGCGACGGUCCCACCUCUGAGAUGAAUCUUGGUUUAGUGGAAGGCAGAAGGAAAGGGAGACGGGCAGGGAAGGAAAGGGCCCACAAGAAGAGACACAAGGCCCGCGACAGGACAAACUCCUACGUGGGCAUGUGCUCAAAACACAGCACUGCUGCGUCCUGGGAAUCUCAGUACAAGCCCGGGGUGGGGGGGGUCUGAUGGUUACAAAGCUGUGUGGGAAUCAGGAACAAUAUUGUUCGUGGCUUCGAUAUUUAAUACCAAUCCUUCUGUGUCUCAGGUCUACUAAUGCCAAUGCCAUACCAACUCUUGAAGGCUCUGCUUCAUCCACACUGUCCAGAGCUGUAGUCCAGACAAGACAAGGACCUGAGCGGUUCAUGUCAGCACAGGAGAGGGAGAGCCACUGACAGCUGUGCUUAGAUGCCAGAUGCUCUCUCCGCCUGGGAGCCCAGCGAGCCUGUCCUGGCUCUUGACGUUCGGCAAUUACUGAUCCUUUCAGCUGAACCCCUGAUCUCUAAUAUGGGGGAGAUCAUUCUGCGACCCUGGAGGAAUGCCGUUCACAUCAAAUUUGAGAUAUGGAAAAACCCAGAGCAUAGAUUCUGAUGUGGCAGUCUGCAA